RNAcentral lists this ribosomal RNA (235 nucleotides) under uncultured bacterium. RNAcentral's name for it is "partial 16S ribosomal RNA". It matches the Rfam family "Bacterial small subunit ribosomal RNA", at positions 103 to 334 of the family's 1533-position model. The record is from RNAcentral.
CGGGUGAGUAACACGUGGGUGACCUGCCCUUAGCUCUGGGAUAAGGCCUGGGGAAACUGGGUCUAAUACCGGAUAUGACCUCAUGACGCAUGUUGUGGGGUGGAAAGCCUUGUGCGGGCUAGGGAUGGGCCCGCGGCCUAUCAGCGUUGUUGGUGGGGUGAUGGCCUACCAAGGCGACGACGGGUAGCCGGCCUGAGAGGGCGACCGGCCACACUGGGACUGAGACACGGCCCAG